GGACGAACGCUGGCGGCGCGCUUAACACAUGCAAGUCGAACGUGAAGCCUGGAGCUUGCUCCGGGUGGAAAGUGGCGAACGGGUGAGGAACACGUGAGAAACCUGCCCUGAAGACCGGGACAACCAUUGGAAACGAUGGCUAAUACCGGAUGUCUUCAUCGGAUCGCAUGAUCUGAUGAAGAAAUGGAUUCCGCUUCAGGAUGGUCUCGCGGCCUAUCAGCUUGUUGGUGGGGUAAUGGCCUACCAAGGCAUCGACGGGUAGCUGGUCUGAGAGGAUGUCCAGCCACACUGGGACUGAGACACGGUCCAGACUCCUACGGGAGGCAGCAGUGGGGAAUAUUGCACAAUGGAGGGAACUCUGAUGCAGCGACGCCGCGUGAGUGAAGAAGGUCUUCGGAUCGUAAAACUCUGUCCUUGGUGAAGAAAAGGACGGUAGCCAAGGAGGAAGCCCCGGCUAACUACGUGCCAGCAGCCGCGGUAAUACGUAGGGGGCGAGCGUUGUCCGGAUUUACUGGGCGUAAAGGGUGAGUAGGCGGUUAUAUAUGUCAGGUGUAAAAAGCUAUGGCUUAACCAUAGUAAGCACUUGAAACUGUAUGACUUGAGUGCAGGAGAGGUAAGCGGAAUUCCUAGUGUAGCGGUGAAAUGCGUAGAUAUUAGGAGGAACACCGGUGGCGAAGGCGGCUUACUGGACUGUAACUGACGCUGAGUCACGAAAGCGUGGGUAGCAAACAGGAUUAGAUACCCUGGUAGUCCACGCUGUAAACGAUGAGUGCUAGGUGUUGGGUAGCGAUAUUCAGUGCCGGAGUAAACACAAUAAGCACUCCGCCUGGGGAGUACGGUCGCAAGACUGAAACUCAAAGGAAUUGACGGGGACCCGCACAAGCAGCGGAGCAUGUGGUUUAAUUCGAAGCAACGCGAAGAACCUUACCAAGGCUUGACAUCCCCUUGACAGAUGCAGAGAUGUAUCCUCCUCUUUUGAGGCAAGGGAGACAGGUGGUGCAUGGUUGUCGUCAGCUCGUGUCGUGAGAUGUUGGGUUAAGUCCCGCAACGAGCGCAACCCUUAUCCUUAGUUGCCAGCAUUUAAGGUGGGCACUCUAAGGAGACUGCCGGUGAUAAACCGGAGGAAGGUGGGGAUGACGUCAAAUCAUCAUGCCCCUUAUGUCUUGGGCUACACACGUGCUACAAUGGUCGGUACAACGGGCAGCUAUGGAGCGAUCCGGAGCAAAUCCCAAUAAACCGAUCCCAGUUCGGAUUGCAGGCUGCAACUCGCCUGCAUGAAGUCGGAGUUGCUAGUAAUCGCGAAUCAGAACGUCGCGGUGAAUGCGUUCCCGGGUCU
This 1336-nucleotide ribosomal RNA is filed under the name uncultured bacterium. Its description in RNAcentral is "bacterial SSU rRNA". It matches the Rfam family "Bacterial small subunit ribosomal RNA", at positions 27 to 1381 of the family's 1533-position model. The record is from RNAcentral.